CAAUAGCGUAUAUUAAAGUUGUUGCAGUUAAAAGCUCGUAGUUGGAUUUCUGGCAGGAGUGACCGGCCGCACACACUGUGUGCGAGUUGCGUCAUUCUGGCCAUCCUUGGUGAGAUCCUGUUUGGCAUUAAGUUGUCGGGCAGGGGAUAACCAUCGUUUACUGUGAAAAAUUAGAGUGUUUAAAGCAGGCUUAUGCCGUUGAAUAUAUUAGCAUGGAAUAAUGGAAUAGGACUUUGGUCCCAUUUUGUUGGUUUCUAUGGGCCGAAGUAAUGAUUAAGAGGGACAAUUGGGGGCAUCCGUAUUUCGUUGUCAGAGGUGAAAUUCUUGGAUUUACGAAAGACGAACAACUGCGAAAGCACUUGCCAAGAGUGUUUUCAUUAAUCAAGAACGAAAGUUAGAGGAUCGAAGAUGAUUAGAUACCAU
This 423-nucleotide ribosomal RNA is filed under the name uncultured eukaryote. RNAcentral describes it as "bacterial SSU rRNA". It matches the Rfam family "Eukaryotic small subunit ribosomal RNA", at positions 592 to 1018 of the family's 1831-position model. The record is from RNAcentral.